UCAUACCACCCUGAAUGCACCCUGUCUUGUUUGGUUUCAAGAAAAUAAGCAGAGUUAAGCUGGUAAAUAUGUGUAUGGGAGACCAUCAAGGAGUACCAGGGA
RNAcentral lists this ribosomal RNA (102 nucleotides) under Pogona vitticeps (central bearded dragon). Lineage: Eukaryota; Metazoa; Chordata; Lepidosauria; Squamata; Agamidae. The record is from RNAcentral.